Molecule: ribosomal RNA, 253 nt
Filed under: uncultured bacterium
Lineage: Bacteria
Description: partial 16S ribosomal RNA
Rfam family: Bacterial small subunit ribosomal RNA
Source: RNAcentral
UACGGAGGGUGCAAGCGUUAAUCGGAAUUACUGGGCGUAAAGCGCACGCAGGUGGCUGAGUCAGUCGAUUGUGAAAGCCCUGGGCUUAACCUGGGAAUUGCAGUCGAUACUACUCAGCUAGAGUAUGGGAGAGGGUAGUGGAAUUCCCGGUGUAGCGGUGAAAUGCGUAGAUAUCGGGAGGAACAUCAGUGGCGAAGGCGGCUACCUGGCCCAAUACUGACACUCAGGUGCGAAAGCGUGGGGAGCAAACAGG